UUUAUUGCACAUUUGACUCCUUCUGGUGAAAGCUUCACAUAUACACAUUCUCCUGCCAAACACCAGGAGACUAAUGGCCAGAUCAUUUGUAUCAAACAAGGUACUGGAUUAUGACUACUGCUAUGUCUCCUAAUGAUAAUCCAGCUGGGCUAACUAGUUUACUACCAUGAUAUUCCCUAUAACAACUCACUGCAUUUCUCUAUCCUGAAUAUUCACUUUCAGAACAAUUACAAUUGCCAAUCUUGUUACCUCCUUGUGUUUCCUAGUUUCACCAAUAUCUUGACAACUUCCAGAGAGACAUAUAAAGAGUAUUCUAAUCAAUACAAAGGCUCAGGCAAGGACAUCAAAGUGGGAGACUUCUUUUAGUUCCCUUCACUACAAUUUUAUACUGAAUACCCUUGCCAAUUCAUAAACAUUCAUUCAAGUUUUCAUGCUUUAUGUUUCAUCCUAUUAAUUUCUCCAACCCAAGAAGGAUAAUACAAGUAUAACAUGAAAAAUAUGCUGUAAUCAUGGUGAGACAGUAGCCAGCUUGGGUACCUGGUUCCCUGAAACGUGUACAAAUUACAAAAGCAGUCAUGUUAACUGCCUACCACCUCAGGAAUGCACAAGAGAGCAUUAGGGCUCUCUAUGGGUAAACCUGUAAAACCCCAGACUCUGUCUAAGGAAGGGUAUCUUGGGGACAAAAGUUCAUCCAAACUCAGCCUCUUCAAUGGACUCACUUGUGCGAGCAAACACAGACAAUUAGCUAGUAAAAAGUCAGCCAUGGAUUAAUGCUCUUUUCUCUAAAAAAUAUGCACCACUUCUCUUGUUUAGACCUACUGUUCCUUGUUUCCAACAUCUCUGAACCCCAUUUGGCUUCACACCUUUGCUUUUUGAUCCUCAACUCAUGACUACUUAAAAGCUUGAUGAGUUAAUUUGGACGUGCAUUUCUGGCUUGAAUGUUUCCCCUUCUUUCAGACCUGAUAGUCUGUAUUCUUACUCCAGAUCUACACAGCAUAAUUGCAGGAGUUUCUGACCAGAGCUGCCAUUCAUCAGAUCUGCAAGGGGGAACAGCCAGUCAGCAUGCCACUACAUCCUAACAGCUGGCCCAGUAACUAUCAAGAAGCCAGUCUCUAGAGCAUCUGGACACUUCUGCAUAUGGCCAUAAACACUAAUUCUGCAUACGGCCAUAAACACUAAUUCUCUAGUAGCAUGUCCAGGAAGUAAGGAAGGACCCUAAUCGGUCACUGUAUACAUGUUCUAAUUCAGAAAAAUGAGGGCUGGAACACAAGAGAAAAGGUUGUGUUGCAGGACAAAGUGGAGAGUAUGUCAGGCAUGGUGGAAAAAUAGAUUUAAAUAUAUAAACUGGAAAUUAAAGGAAAGUGUGCAUAAGGUGGAGUCGUAGGAAAAAACUUAAAAAGACAGGUGGCAAUAUUACACAUUUCUAUUUUUUUCUAAACUAUAGGAAUGUUUCUUAAGUGCCCUUCUUAAGAGAGAAGGUAUUUUGAAUGAGUGGUGGAUUUUAAAUGGGAUAUUUAAAUUCAUACUUUGUAGGAUCUGAGAAGCUGUCAUGGAUUGACCAGUACUUCUUUUAUCUCUUUGAUUCUCUCUCUCUCUCCCUUUUGUCCAAAUAACAUUAAGCCUCUGUUAUGGACUAUUUUUCUAAUAAAAAUGUAGUUCUAGGAAUAUCACUUUUCCUUGGGAAAUGCUCUUAUAUAAGAGAUGGUUCUUUAGAGUCUCAGCCACUUGAAGGAUCACAUUUAGUUCAGGAAUUUUAUUUUGUUUUCAAGUUUUCAUGAGAGUGGGACUGAUGUUAUAUUCUUACAUACUCUAAUAGCUGCUCUUUAAACUUUAGAAAGCUGAGACUCACGAAAGACUUUGGAGAUGCUUUGUCACUUCCAGUGGGAGAAAUAUCAGUGUGCAGUUGCUAAAGAGACCCAAAAUCAAACCAAUUUCUUGAGAAUGAGAUCACUCUCCCUGGAAUUAAAUAUUUUAAAUGAAAGCUAUAUUUAAAAAGUUUUGUAUAUAUGUUGGGACUUUAUCUGGAGGAUUAAGAGCCGAAUUGACAGUAAGAAGAAAUUUGUAUAGAAAUACAUUAUUUGAAAUAUGUUUUUGUUAUUAUCUACUGGAGGUGUAGAUGCCAGAAGGGAAAUUUUUGGUAUCUGAUCAGAAACUUUGAAAAUUAUAGGACACAUGAGAGAUCUGGGGUUUAAAUAAUAUAGCAGCAGGGCUCAUUACUUAUACCAGAAGGCACCCUAGUCUACAACUGAAGGAGGGACCUGGGCUCAAACCAGGAUUUUUUUAAAAAAUUUUAUUGGCAUAUAGUUGAUUUACAAUGUUGUGUUAAGCAAAGUGAAUCAGUUAUGCAUAAAUAUAUAUCCACUCUUUUUUAGAUUCUUUUCCCAUAUAGACCAUUACAGAGUACUGAGUAGAGUUCCCUGUGCUAUACAGUAGGUCCUUAUUAGUUAUCUGUUUUAUAUAUAGCAGCAUGUACAUGUCAAUCCCAAUCUUCCAAUUUAUCUCUCCCCCCCACCCCCCAGUAACCAUAAGUUUGUUUUCUACAUCUGGGACUCUAUUUCUGUUUUGUAAAUAAUUUCCUUUUUACCCUUUUUUUAGAUUCCACACGUAAGCAAUAUCAUAUCAUCUUUGUCUUUCUCUGUCUGACUUACUUCACUCAGCAUGAAAAUCUCUAGGUCCAUCCAUGUGGCUGUAAAUGUCAUUAUUUUCUUCUUUAGCUGAGGAAUAUUCAUUUGUAUAUAUAUGUACCACAUCUUCUUUAUCCAUUCCUCUUUCGAUGGACAUUUAGGUUGCUUCCAUGUUAUGGCUAAUGUAAGUAGUGUUGCAAUGAAAAAUGGGGUGCAUGUAUCCUUUUGAAUUAUGGUUUUCUCCAGAUAUAUGCCCAGGAAUGGGAUUGCUGGAUCAUAUGGUAGCUCUAUUUUUAGUUUUUUUAAGGAACUUCCAUACUGUUCUCCAUAGUGGCUGUACCCGUUUACAUUCGCACCAACAGUGUAGGAGGGUUCCAUUUUCUCCACACUCUCUCCAGCAUUUAUUGUUUGUGGAUUUUUUGAUGAUGACCAUUCUAACUGGUAUGAGGUGACACCUCAUUGUAGUUUUGAUUUACAUUUGUCUAAUAAUCCCAACCAGGAAUUUGAAAAGUUGGAUCUGAGAAGACUGAGAAGAUAAUGGUGAGGCAGAGGGUGAGGGAAGAAAACUGAUUCUUUGUAAAUAUUUUGGGCAUUUAAUUUAUUUUUGAAGAAGUGGUUGAAUUGAUAGAAGGGAAUUAAUAGUUUUAAAUGUUAGAGGAUGGAGGAUAGUUGACAUUUUAUGCCGCUGUCAUAUGUUGUUUGGUUUUGAUGAUGCUCUUUUAGAGUAUAAAAUAUAUAACCUUUGUAGUGAGAUUUCUGGGGUGAAGGGUUGUAUUGUUAUUGAAGGAGAAUGUCAUUAGUAUUUUAAAUUGAUGUCAUUAUAUUAUUUGAAUUAUAAUGAUUCUGUUAUAUUCUGAACAACAUAUAUUAUUCACUGUUGAGCUUUGUUGGAAAGGAAGGAUAUUUAUAUAGUUAAAUGUGAGGGGGAAAUUUGUGGCAUUUUAGAGUGAUGCUAUCAUAUUAUAUGCAGUAUAAUGAUGCUUGUGCAAUGUAUAACCUUGUCACUUAAGAGUGGUGGAUUGAGAGGGCUUGUAUACUUAGUACUUAUACUGGUAUCUAGUAGUAGAAAGCAUUUAAUAAAUAUUUGUUGAUUGGA
Long non-coding RNA from Orcinus orca (killer whale), 3720 nucleotides. RefSeq lists it as uncharacterized. NCBI's taxonomy places the organism in Eukaryota, Metazoa, Chordata, Mammalia, Artiodactyla, Delphinidae. The transcript has 2 exons. The record is from RefSeq and is a predicted model, not a curated record.